Molecule: long non-coding RNA, 632 nt
Organism: Ictalurus punctatus (channel catfish)
Lineage: Eukaryota; Metazoa; Chordata; Actinopteri; Siluriformes; Ictaluridae
Exons: 4
Source: RefSeq, a predicted model, not a curated record
UCUCUCUCUCUCUCUCUCAGCAAUCUGCAUAUGUGGGAAUUUCUCAUAGCAGGACAUGCAGACGGAUGUGUCAUCAUCUUUCCUCAUCACAUUUAAGUCCUGAGCCGGGAUCAGAUAAACGUGCUUUAGUUUAGUCCAAGACAUCAGAGAAGGUGGAAGAGUUCAGAACUAUGAAGACCGCAGUCUGGUUGUUGUGCCUUAUCGGCCUGACCGUGGCUGUCCAACCUGAAACUGAUCACGAUGGUGAGACUCGCUCACUCUUCUCCAACUCUAAGCAACUGACCCACGAUCAGAUCUGUCAGCUCCUGCCGAACCUUCUCUCGGCUCUCGGACCUGCUCCGGCUCCGGCAUCUUUGACUCCGUCUGCUCCUGAUACUGGGAGAUAACCUGUGCUUUCUCUUGCCCUGGAUUUGUUCAGAAAACCUCAGCUUUUAGCUCAGAGUCGAGAAAAUGGGGUUUACGUUGUGUUUUGUGUAAUCUACAUUUAAAUUAAGGGCAGUUCAGAACACUUAUUCAUCGAAACCUGCCCUGAUAUCAGAUCCAAUCUCAUGUGUGUGUUCUUGAUCACUGGCUGGGAAAACGGUGCUUUAAUAAAACAUCUGUAAUAAUUCUGACUCGGCGUGUGUUUGUAA